RNAcentral lists this ribosomal RNA (501 nucleotides) under uncultured bacterium. RNAcentral describes it as "partial 16S ribosomal RNA". It matches the Rfam family "Bacterial small subunit ribosomal RNA", at positions 29 to 523 of the family's 1533-position model. The record is from RNAcentral.
AUUGAACGCUGGCGGCAUGCCUUACACAUGCAAGUCGAACGGCAGCACGGGUGCUUGCACCUGGUGGCGAGUGGCGAACGGGUGAGUAAUACAUCGGAACGUACCUUAUCGUGGGGGAUAACGCAGCGAAAGUUGCGCUAAUACCGCAUACGCCCUGAGGGGGAAAGCGGGGGACCGUAAGGCCUCGCGCGAUUAGAGCGGCCGAUGUCUGAUUAGCUUGUUGGUGAGGUAAAAGCUCACCAAGGCGAUGAUCAGUAGCUGGUCUGAGAGGACGAUCAGGCACACGGGGACGGAGACACGGCGCAGACUCCUACGGGAGGCAGCAGUGGGGAAUUUUGGGCAAUGGGGGCUACCCUGAUCCAGCAAUGCCGCGUGAGUGAAGAAGGCCUUCGGGGUGUAAAGCUCUUUUGUCAGGGAAGAAACAGCAGCUCUAACACAGUCUGCGAAUGACGGUACCUGAAGAAUAAGCACCGGCUAACUACGUGCCAGCCGCCGCCGUAA